CAGAGUAGGAGACCUCGCGUAAAGUGCUGCCAGAAUGGGGAGUUGUAUGGCGGACGAAGGGCUAAGGCCCGCGAUGGGAUCUCCGCACCCGCUGC
This 95-nucleotide non-coding RNA is filed under the name human gut metagenome. Its description in RNAcentral is "THF riboswitch". It matches the Rfam family "THF (Tetrahydrofolate) riboswitch aptamer". From Rfam's summary of the family: THF riboswitch presents a pseudoknot that joins P1-P2 and the loop of P3 and two THF binding. The record is from RNAcentral.